Molecule: transfer RNA, 74 nt
Filed under: Chloroflexi bacterium RBG_13_60_13
Lineage: Bacteria; Bacillati; Chloroflexota
Description: tRNA-Arg
Source: RNAcentral
GGGUUGCUGGCUCGUCGGAAGGAUCCCGGACUUCUUGUCCGGGAGUCGUUGGUUCGAAUCCCACCGGCCCUCCA